This 24-nucleotide non-coding RNA is filed under the name Arabidopsis thaliana (thale cress). The record is from RNAcentral. Lineage: Eukaryota; Viridiplantae; Streptophyta; Magnoliopsida; Brassicales; Brassicaceae.
ACUCGACUUCAUCAGCUCUGUGGC